RNAcentral lists this long non-coding RNA (875 nucleotides) under Chinchilla lanigera (long-tailed chinchilla). RNAcentral describes it as "lncRNA (ENSCLAG00000022827.1)". Lineage: Eukaryota; Metazoa; Chordata; Mammalia; Rodentia; Chinchillidae. The record is from RNAcentral.
CUGUCGUUUUUCCAUCCCUUUCUCCUCCCCCACCCCUCCCUCCCUCCCUAUUUCUGUUCCCUUCCGUUUUGCAAAAGAUCUGUCUCCCUGUUUCUAUUAUCUACCUUUAUCCCGCUCUUUAUUUGAUUCCACCGUGAUAAGAGCACAUGCUCUGUAUAACCUUAAUCCUCUUAGAUGUACUGAGACUCCUGUACCCGGAUGCUCGCAUGGCCCAGAGGCUGCGAGUCCCGCUAUCUGCCGACCUGCUCUGCUCUUCCUCUGGCCAUGGUGGAAGGCCAGCGCCUUGUCCACGUUCCCCACCUCUUCACUGACUUCCUAUCUACUUACCCCAGCAGGUGGGGCCAAGCCUGCUCCUCCACCAGUUGCCAAGUGUUCCAGGAUGCUGCACCAGAGCCAACACAGGGGCGGUCAGCGUGGAGUUGAAGAGGGAGUGGGUCCCUGGCCACCACUGCACCAACACAGGCCCUGGAUACUGGGGCAAGGCCUCUGCGGCCUACAGGACAGAACUCAGCCCAGCACCUGGGCAUUAGCAGAUGGCCUCGGGGCUGGAGAGCACAAACCUGUGUUGUUGAAGCCGUCCAGCUGUGUUGAUUUGUGAGGGCAGCAACCAGAAACCAACACACGUGAUUAAACACAGUUCCAUUAGAACCCAGCAAUUCUGCAGUGAGGCCCUGGCUCGGAAGCGGUCUCUGGAUUACGAAGAAGACGCAGUGAGAACACGAGUGACAGUGUGGGGAUGGAGCGGCUGUCUUGGGUGUAACUGAAAGGCAACAAGGUCUCUGACCCACAGAACACAGGGCCACCUGGCAGGUGUGUGCACCUGAGAAGCCACCUGCAUGGGGGGAGGUGUCAAAAGACACAGAGUACUUCCUGAG